This 401-nucleotide ribosomal RNA is filed under the name uncultured bacterium. Its description in RNAcentral is "bacterial SSU rRNA". It matches the Rfam family "Bacterial small subunit ribosomal RNA", at positions 356 to 774 of the family's 1533-position model. The record is from RNAcentral.
GGGGAAUAUUGGACAAUGGGCGCAAGCCUGAUCCAGCCAUGCCGCGUGAGUGAUGAAGGCCCUAGGGUUGUAAAGCUCUUUCACCGGUGAAGAUAAUGACGGUAACCGGAGAAGAAGCCCCGGCUAACUUCGUGCCAGCAGCCGCGGUAAUACGAAGGGGGCUAGCGUUGUUCGGAAUUACUGGGCGUAAAGCGCCCGUAGGCGGAUCGAUCAGUUAGGGGUGAAAUCCCGGGGCUCAACCCCGGAACUGCCUCUAAUACUGUCGAUCUGGAGUUCGAGAGAGGUGAGUGUAAUUCCGAGUGUCGAGGUGAAAUUCGUAGAUAUUCGGAGGAACACCAGUGGCGAAGGCGGCUCACUGGCUCGAUACUGACGCUGAGGUGCGAAAGCGUGGGGAGCAAACA